This 1329-nucleotide long non-coding RNA is filed under the name Lotus japonicus. RNAcentral describes it as "long non-coding RNA (LJAP_LNC001156)". Lineage: Eukaryota; Viridiplantae; Streptophyta; Magnoliopsida; Fabales; Fabaceae. The record is from RNAcentral.
UUUAAACUUGGUAUACUUUGUUGCAAUUCACAUGUUCCAAACUCCAAUGGUGCCUGUUACUUGAGAAUUUUACCUAUUGUGACGUGAUUCAGAAUGUGGAACUUUGCAUCAAGUUGCAUUUCUGGAAGUGUAGGUCUGAAAAAUGAUUGUCUAAAGCCAACUCACUCCGCUUCAGAAUGCUCUGACGAUGAGACUUCUAUGACGACCAGGGAGGAAGGGCUAGAAUGCCCAAUAUGCUGGGAAUCUUUUAACAUUGUUGAAAACGUUCCUUACUUUUUAUGGUGUGGCCACACCCUCUGUAAAAAUUGCAUCCUGGGACUGCAAUGGGCUAUGGUGAAAUUCUCAAUGAGCUAAUUUUGUGAAAAUUGUUGGAAUUCGGAGCAUGCUGUGAAAAGGGUUUGUUUGGGUUUGGGAGCUGGGAAGGGAUAUCAAAGAUUAUGAAAUGAUAAUCUGAAAUGGUGUGUGUUUCACAAUGUCAAUGUUUGUAAAUGGAACUAAUUUGACGGAUGAAUUAUAUAUCUUAAAGACUGGACUAGUUUGAUGGAAAAAAUGGCAUUCAAGGACCUUGAUCAUAUAUUUCACUGUUCAAGGAUGAAAAUGAAAAUAUUUGUAUUUCUUAGGAAUAAUUUGACUAUUUACUCAUUCUUGAUACUACCCAUUUUCUGAGGUAGGCCUAAAUUGUUUUUCAGGUUAAAAAGUCUACUAGGUUUUAUGGCCAUGUAUUGGUGUAAAAAGUGAAAGAAACUACUUUCAUAACUGCUUAGUAUAAUGGAUUAUAGUACUAUUAUACUAACUAAUUUAUUUGUAAUUGAUUAUGCUUUUUGGAUUGUUUUAAUGCAUGUACCAUGUGGUGUUGUUAUGGUUGAAAUCUUUGCAUUGAAAAAAUGGUAGUCAUGGAUUAUGACAUCCAACUUUAUUUCCCAGUUGUUUAUUCUUAUAGAAAGUGUAUGAAAUGCAUGUGUAAAAUUGACAUGAGUUCACAUUUAUGAUCUUUGGUAUCUGCAUAUGAUGAUGUACUUCAAACAGUUAUUUCAUUUCUGUUAAUACAACAUUUCUUAGUAUUGUAUGACGGUGUUACAGGAAGCUUUCUGACACUUAUUUUCGUUCAGGUUUAAACUUGGUAUACUUUGUUGCAAUUCACAUGUUCCAAACUCCAAAUGGUGCCUGUUACUUGAGAAUUUUACCUAUUGUGACGUGAUUCAGAAUGUGGAACUUUGCAUCAAGUUGCAUUUCUGGAAGUGUAGGUCUGAAAAAUGAUUGUCUAAAGCCAACUCACUCCGCUUCAGAAUGCUCUGACGAUGAGACUUCUAUGACGACCAGGGAGGAAGG